Molecule: ribosomal RNA, 254 nt
Filed under: uncultured bacterium
Lineage: Bacteria
Description: partial 16S ribosomal RNA
Rfam family: Bacterial small subunit ribosomal RNA
Source: RNAcentral
UACAGAGGUCUCAAGCGUUGUUCGGAAUCACUGGGCGUAAAGGGUGCGUAGGCGGCGAAGAAAGUCGGAUGUGAAAUUUGAGGGCUCAACCCUCAACUAGCAUCUGAUACUACUUUGCUAGAGAUUUGGAGAGGAGCUUGGAAUUCUCGGUGUAGCAGUGAAAUGCGUAGAUAUCGGGAGGAACACCAGUGGCGAAGGCGGUUGCCUGGGGCUUUGCUGACGCUGAUGCGCGAAAGCGUGGGGAGCGAGUCCGG